Molecule: unclassified non-coding RNA, 170 nt
Organism: Gopherus agassizii (Agassiz's desert tortoise)
Lineage: Eukaryota; Metazoa; Chordata; Testudines; Testudinidae
Source: Ensembl
UAUCAGCUCUGCAGACUGAAGUCCUUUGUUUAAUUACAGAACAGGUUUAGCAUGGGCAGCAGCCGCGCCAGCUUCCCCACAUGGCCAGUCAUGCCUGUUUUGAGAGGGACAAACUCCAUGGCAUUCAUUGUGGACCUUGUAGGCUGCCCACAAGGGUUCCCGCUACUACG